UGGGCCGUUAGCUCAGUUGGUAGAGCAGGAGACUCUUAAUCUCAGGGUCAUAGGUUCGAAUCCUAUACGGCCCAA
RNAcentral lists this transfer RNA (75 nucleotides) under Legionella pneumophila. RNAcentral describes it as "tRNA-Lys(ctt)". It matches the Rfam family "tRNA". From Rfam's summary of the family: Transfer RNA (tRNA) molecules are approximately 80 nucleotides in length. Their secondary structure includes four short double-helical elements and three loops (D, anti-codon, and T loops). Further hydrogen bonds mediate the characteristic L-shaped molecular structure. tRNAs have two regions of fundamental functional importance: the anti-codon, which is responsible for specific mRNA codon recognition, and the 3' end, to which the tRNAs corresponding amino acid is attached (by aminoacyl-tRNA synthetases). tRNAs cope with the degeneracy of the genetic code in two manners: having more than one tRNA (with a specific anti-codon) for a particular amino acid; and 'wobble' base-pairing, i.e. permitting non-standard base-pairing at the 3rd anti-codon position. The record is from RNAcentral. RNAcentral also lists the same sequence under 1 other name. Lineage: Bacteria; Pseudomonadati; Pseudomonadota; Gammaproteobacteria; Legionellales; Legionellaceae.